GGCUGGUCCGAUGGUAGUGGGUUAUCAGAACUUAUUAACAUUAGUGUCACUAAAGUUGGUAUUCAACCCCCCACUGCUAAAUAUGACUGGCUUUUG
This 96-nucleotide Y RNA is filed under the name Microcebus murinus (gray mouse lemur). RNAcentral describes it as "Y RNA (ENSMICG00000047861.1)". It matches the Rfam family "Y RNA". Rfam says of the family: Y RNAs are components of the Ro ribonucleoprotein particle (Ro RNP), in association with Ro60 and La proteins. The record is from Rfam by way of RNAcentral. Lineage: Eukaryota; Metazoa; Chordata; Mammalia; Primates; Cheirogaleidae.